ACUACGGGAGGCUGCAGUGGGGGAUAUUGCACAAUGGGGGGAACCCUGAUGCAGCGACGCCGCGUGGGUGAAGAAGCGCCUCGGCGCGUAAAGCCCUGUCAGCAGGGAAGAAAAUGACGGUACCUGAAGAAGAAGCCCCGGCUAACUACGUGCCAGCAGCCGCGGUAAUACGUAGGGGGCAAGCGUUAUCCGGAUUUACUGGGGGUAAAGGGGGCGCAGACGGCGAUGCAAGCCAGGAGUGAAAGCCCGGGGCCCAACCCCGGGACUGCUCUUGGAACUGCCUGGCUGGAGUGCAGGAGGGGCAGGCGGAAUUCCUGGUGUAGCGGUGAAAUGCGUAGAUAUCAGGAGGAACACCGGUGGCGAAGGCGGCCUGCUGGACUGCAACUGACGUUGAGGCCCGAAAGCGUGGGGAGCAAACAGGAUUAGAUACCCGAGUAGUC
This 440-nucleotide ribosomal RNA is filed under the name uncultured bacterium. Its description in RNAcentral is "partial 16S ribosomal RNA". It matches the Rfam family "Bacterial small subunit ribosomal RNA", at positions 338 to 795 of the family's 1533-position model. The record is from RNAcentral.